GAUUCCCAGAGAAGGACUAAGUGAGAGCCCUCAGCAGCCAAGACUCCUGGAAACCCGAGGAACAAGUGCCCGGGUCCUGACAGGCCGUCUGGGCUGUGUGCUAUGGCACAGCCCCUAGAGGCAAUUGGAGCCCGUUUGAGGACGCAGAGAGCAGAGGAAUGCAAGUCAAAGCGUGCAGAGAGCUGGGAACAGCAAGUUUCAUUUUAAACUGCAGCGCUGAGCCAGAGACAUGCACAAGGUUAAAGGAAGUAUUUGUGGAAUGGAAUGAACAGAUGUCAUGUCCUAUGACUCAGCACACAGCUCCAGAUGGCUUCCUGCAAUUUCUAGUCUUGUUGGCUGAGGUGCCGAAGCCCUGGUACAGUAAAGUAAAACCGAAAACAUGUUGCAACUAAGAGUGGGAACCCUCCUCCUCUGCCUGCUCAUCCGCAGACCACAAGAUGAGGAAUCUGAGCCUCAGAGAGGGAGGGAGCCUUGCGAGGGUCACAACAGCUGUCCCCACAAGGAAGUUUGAAGGUCUUGUCAAGGUCUGAUCAGAGCCCACCAGGCCCCCGAGGUACUCCUGGAAAUUGGUGGUGUGACCUCAUUUGCAUCCCAGGGGCCCAGCCUGCACAUGGCCUGUCUAGGAGGUGGUGAAGCACUGGACCAGAGUUUGGAGUCUAAAGGGAAAACUUGCCAACAGUGGGGGUCUGCAGAGAAAGAGCAGACCACGUGAUCAGAGAGAGCAGAGCACAUGAUGAGACAGAAGCAGGGCUGAGCGCUUGAAUCCAGAGAAACAAGGAAGAAGGCUGUGGUGGCCGCAAAGCCCGGUGCACUUCUUACAGUUCCUUUUUAUGUGAACUUUUCCGAGGACUAGCAAGCAGACAAUUCCUGAUGAAAACCUCAGUGUUUUGAUUAUGUCCUGUUAAUAAAUGUGGUAUGUGAUUCCCACUCCAUAAACUUGACUGUGCAAGAAAUGUUACAUUAUUUUAUUUCAUUGAAUUUUAAUUUAAUCUGACCCGGAGUCCACAUUUUUGCUGAGGUGGCUAGAAAGUUGAUCUCAGUGAGGUGAGAGGACCCUUCUUUUGGGCAGUCCACAAUCUGGGAGGCUCCCAUCUGAAACGGGUCUUCAGUCCAACCCCGCAGCCGUGGCUACUGUGGCCCUCCCUCACUAUCUGAAGGCAAGUGUGCAGACCCAGCAGGUCCUAGGGGGUUGCUACCUCCUCAGACACACUUCCCAGCCCAAGCCUCUGCUCGCUUUCCUCCUGUGGGGUCCCUAGAAGGAAGGCAUCUCUGCUUUUGUUAUGCCAGGCUCUGGCCUCCCUUAGUUAAAUGUGCUACCCAGCCAUUUCCACUGGCACUGCCAGCCUCCAUGUAUCCCAGCCUUGGGGACUCUCCCCUGUCUCAUGGCACUCAAAUGCACUUGGCUCUUUUUCUUUUCCCUGCAGCAUAAUAAUGUCAAGUUUGGGCUUUUAACAUGCAAAAGACAGGAAGGCAGCUUGUCAUGGAGCAUCCUUCUGCUAUAGCAUGGCGCGACUUGUUUGUACUGGAGGAGGAGUGAGCACAGGAGUGCAAAACGCAAAGUAACACCCCCGGGGGUCAUCCUGGCGUUCUGUUCUGCUCGUGUGUGUUCUAAUGGCCAUGACACCGCUGCUUCUGGCAACCUCCCUGCUCCAGAAGGGCCCUGUCAGACCCUCCCUGACAUCUCUGUGGGCUCCUGGAAUUCCCACCUGCAGCAUAAUACCCAUUGGCUCUGAGUGGUGAGAUGGGGAGACCACUGAUGAGCCCCAGUCCCUGGCCCUCCUGCCAGGGACAGAGGCGCUUUGGCACGUAAAGUAAGCAUGAGGACCCAGCAGGCUCCCAGCAGGUUGCUGCUUCCUGAGACAUGCUUCCCAGCCCAGGCUGCUGCCAUUUCUCCUGAAUUCUUCCCUGGAGCAGCUCUGGGUUUAUUUUUAUGGGAUGUGCAACAGUCACUUUACUUAAGCUCAAAGUUGACCUUCUGGUUUCCUUGCUUCACACCCGCAGGCUUGGGCAAUCCCCCACUCCUCCUGCGGCUUUCAAGGCCUCCUUAUGAUCUGGUCUUACUUGGUCUUCACUCACCUUUCCAGCCUCUAGCCUCACCCUCACCCUCUUCACAUUUGCUCUGACCCCAGAAUCACACAUGUACUUUCUUCCCUGGGCCUUUGGUUAUCCUAUGUCCUCUGCUGGGAUACUCUCUCCAGCAGCCUAGUGGGCUGCCCCUGUAGCCAUCCACAGUGUCAGCUAGGGCAGGGAACAUGGCCCUGAAGUGCCUAGACUUGGGUUCAGAUAGCAGCUCCACUAGUGGCUGGAUGUGUGACCUUCCAUUCUCUGAGCCACAAUUGUCUCAUCUGUACAGUGGACAUUAAAUGAGGGUCAGGGUGAGGAUUCAGUGAGGAAAUGGGUGAAAGACACAAGGAUGAUUAGAAUUAUGUGCCACUCUGCUAUGUGCUUGGUGAAUAAAACUCAUUCCUUUGAUGAAUACCAUCCCUUUGUACAGGACUCUUAGCUGCAAAAAAGCAGAGUAUAGUUUAUUGGGCAUAAGAGGUGACUGACAAUGAAAAACUUAGUCAGCAGUUUGAACAAUAAAAUAAAAAGAAUGAAAGUAACAGCCACACUUUAUUAGCACUUAUUGUGAGCAGGUACUGUGUGGAAUGCUUGAAGACAUUAGGUCACUUUAUGCACAAAUCCUCCAGGAGCAGGGAGUUUUGACUAUUCAUCUGUUUUUAUAAACGACAAAACAGAGGAUCAGGGAGUUUGUGUGAGUUAUUUAAAGUCUUGCAGCUUAUAAGUGGCACAGUCUUGUUGAAAUUAAAUCCAGAUCUGAGUCCAAAGAUCAUACAGUUAAAUACACCCACACAUGUGUGCUGAUGGGGUUCAGGGCAUGCUGCCCCCAAAUAUGCCAUUUUGGCAUACUGGUUCUUUUGAAUUAAAAUUACUUAAGAAACAGCCAGUACAAGAAGGACACACUGACCCUCCUUUGUCUCCCUGGAAGCAGGAAAUAAAUUUCCCAUGUGAAAGGCACCCUCCCUGCACCAGGAGGUAAAGAGACACCCUUAUCACAGAGAUAGGGUGUGGGGCAGAGAAGGCUGCAGAAACACUCCUGUUACUUCUAACUAAUUUACUACCCCAAACCCAAACUUCUUUGUCUCAUCAAUUCUUCACAAAUUUAUUGUUCCUUUGUCUAAAAGGUAUAAAACUUGCUUAUUUUGAUCACUUCUCUGAGUCUCAUAAUUUUAUAACUCCCAGAUGAAUGAAAUUAAAUUUGGUUUACUCCUGUUAAUCUAAUGUCCAUUUAAUUAUUAGAUCAACCAAAGAACCUAGAAUGGAAGAAAGGAAGUUUUUCUCCCCUACAGUACAUACACUUCUACACCCACAUAUACACACACACACUCACAUAUCCCAUUGUGCCUUUUUCAACACCACCAGUCAAUUAACUCAAUUCUUAAGUGAACACUGACUGUAUGUUCUACAAUUCAGCUCUAUCUUGACACUCUCUACCUAGAGAUAGCAUCAGAUCCCAUAGGUGAAGGGCUCAGUCCCACGAGACUGCCCCCCUUUUCAGAUACCAUUCACAAGUCCAGGUUGUCAGCUGGGCUGACCGACAGGCUGUUAAUCAGAGGUUCCCACGACCUCCUCCUUGGGCUCCAUUAGUUUGCUAGAGCAGCUCACAGAACUCAGGGAAACAUCUUACUUAAGAGAUUACCAGUUUAUUGUAAAAGGAUAUAGCUUAGAAAUAGGUGGAAUAGAGGCAUAGGGCAGGGUAUGGGGACAGGGUGUGGUGCUCGCAUGCCCUCAGAAUGUGCCACUCUCCCCAGAUCUCUGGGUUCAACCCAGAAGCUCUCCAGCCUCCAUCCUUUUGGUUUUUAUAGCAACUUCCUCACAUAGGCAUGAUUCAUUAAAUCACUGGGCCAUUGGUGAUUGAACCUCCCUCUAGCUCCUCUCUCCUCCCAGGAGGUCAGGGAUUUGGACUGAAAUUUCCAAACCUCUAAUCAUGUUUGGUUCCCUGGCAACCAACCUCCAUCCUUAGGGGCUUUCUGAAAGUCACCUUAUCAACAAAUUCAUGUCUGGUUGAAAGUGGCUUAUUAUGAAUAAUAGAAGAUACUUCAAUCAUGUUUUUCACUUAGGACAUCCGAAGAGUUUUAGGAGCUCUGUGCCAGAAAUGGGGAUGUAACCCAAAUAUAUAUUUGUAAUUGUUCAUCACAAUAUCACAGACAUAUACUCAUAUUCACAUGCACACCCACAUGCUUGCACAUAUGUCUACACAUAUAUACACAUAGCCACACCCACAAACACUCACAAAAGGAGGGCACACAGGAUACAUAGGCAACGGGACCUAGGGACCUAUGGCUUGCUUAGAAAGAAGAAGGCAUGAAUAGCGAAGAGAGCAAGUGACACAGCUCCGGUGCCACUGAGGGAGGGGAGAGCUAGCUCAGUUUAGGAGUAGGGCCUUCUGGCAGCCUGCUGCACUGAUGCCACUGUUUCACUGAGACUUACGGAGUUGCUUGCUCCCCUCUGCCCAGCAGUGCUGGGGAUCAGGGCCUGCAAACAGCUUGCGCUCCACCAGGGUAGUUAGUGCUCCCUGCAGGGAGGGGGUCACUGGACCUUUGUCCCAGGACACCCCAAACCUCCACCUUAUCUGACACUGCAUGCUGACAGGUGGCUGGAACACUUUCUUUCAUUACUCCUUCAUUUAACCUCAGCCUCCAACCCCCAAAGGCUUUGUGGGUCAUUCAGGCGCCUUUCAUUUCCAUUGACUGUGGGACACAUGUUACUUUUGUACAUGUGGUAUUGAAGUUGAUUGUUUUAGAAAGAAAACAUUAGAAAUCAUGCCUGCGAAUACCUGUCAGCAUUUUAGCGUUUCGAACACGUCCUCAUUUUAGAAGUGGCUAGUCUGGUGCCCAACUGUUACUUAUACAUUCAAUCAUUUAAAAAAUGUUUUUGGAGCCCCUACUGUGAGUGAGACACUAUAGCCACUGUGAUAAUAACUACAAACCAAACAGUCAAGGUUCCCACAUCAAAGGAGACUUCUGGAGGGAAAUGGAAAACAAGUCAGCCAUCGAAGGAACAAGAAACAGCAUUUGAGAUAGUGGUGUAUUAGAAGGGCCAUUGUCAGGUUAUGUGGCCCCCAAAAGUAUUGCAAGCAAGGCCUCAAAUCAAUAUUUGUAUGCCAGUGUUGGUAACAGCUCUACUCAAAACAGCCAAACGGUGGAAACAACCCAAAUAUCCAUUAACAGAUGAAUAAACAAAGUGUGCUAUGUACAUACAAUGGCGUAUGAUUCAACUUUAAAAAGGAAGGACAUUCUGACAGAGGCUCCGGCAUGGAUGAGCCUUGAGGGUAUUAUGCUAAGUCAGACACGAAAGGACGAACACUAUACUACUCCACUGACAUGAGGUACUUAGAACAGGAAUGUUCUUAGAGCUGGAAACUAGAAUAGAGCUUAUCAGGGGCUGGGAGGGCAGGUGGACUAGGGAAUUGUUGUUAAAUGGGUACAAAAUAUCUCCUCGGGAUGAUGAAAAAGUUCUGGAAAUGGAUGGUUGCACAGCACUGUGAAUGUACUUAGAGCUACUGAAGUGUACACUUAAGAAUUGUUAAAAUGGUAACUUUAUGUCGCUAUGUUAUGUUAAAUUUUACCCCAGUAAAAUUUAAAAAAAAAGUUUAUGUGAUAGAGAGUAAGCAGGGAAGGGUAGGGCUAAUUUACCUAAAAUGGCUAGGGAAGGCCUUUCUGGAAAAGGAACAUUUGAUCAAUGAAUGGACAAGAGACAGGAUUCAGCCAGAUUGGCCAGAUGUGGGGAGGCAGUGGGCUGAGGUCACGUGGGAGUGGUGGCAGGCACAGUGGCCCAGGGGUCUGGCAGGCUGGGAUAGGGAGCACAACUUCUAUUAGGAGCAGUGGGAAACUACAGAAGGUCGUAGUCGUAGCCGUGGGAGUGACAGAAUCAACCUUACACUUUUGAAAAGACCACUCAGGCUGCUGUGUGACAGAGCUUGCCAGGGGACACUGGGGAGUUGUGCGGAGCCCACGGGGUACUCCAGGCAGGAGGUGAGGUCUACCCCUUCCAGGGCUCAGCCCCCUCUCCUCCUCUGCCUGUCGUUCCUGCAGUGUGGGGUUAGCGGGUCAAUGUUGGGAAAGGAAGGUGAGGAAAUCCGUGUGUUGAAAUCUGCUGCUGCCUGUGUCAGUGGCAAAGGCCCCAUGCUGCUGGGGUGCGACCGGCCCCCCACGGCCCCUGCGUAAAUCUGGCUCACCCAGCUCGAGGGAGGAGGGACUGGCAUUGACCUGAGGGCAGGGGCUGUCGGCAGGCGGCAGGUGGGUGGUGGCUUACCAGGCCAUGGGCCUGAGAGUCUGGCAAAUGGCCUCACCUCCUCAGCCUCAGUUUCCUCAUCUGUAGAAGCAGGAUAGUAAUAGUACUUACAUUGCAAGGACUCAAUAUGAUAAAAUGUGUCAGGCUCUUUGCACAGUGUCUAGCACAGGUUAAACUCUCAGUAAAGGUUAGUCAUCAUCAACAUCAUCAUCAUUAUUAUUUUGCUAUUGUAAAUCUAAAACAUUUAUUCAAUCUGUUCUGGUUGCAUUAAGAUCAUGAGAUUUCCCCAUCUGAAGGCUAUAAACCCAGUGCUAAGUCCCUUUGAUUAAUAACUUUUCUUUUGUAGUCUGUGCACCUGAGGAGCAGGAUCUGGAUCUUCUUCCUCUUUUUCUCCUCCUUUGGGUCAGUAGGCUCUGCCAUCUAUGUCCCUUAACACCCUGGUCUUCGUGCAUUCAAAACAUCUGGAGUUACAGGUACAGUUGUCUCUGUUACCUGAUGACAUGCUCCAUUAAGGCAGGACUGCCCCGCCACCCCCUCUACCCCAUACACACACACACACA
This is a long non-coding RNA of Manis pentadactyla (Chinese pangolin), 6854 nucleotides long. RefSeq lists it as uncharacterized. NCBI's taxonomy places the organism in Eukaryota, Metazoa, Chordata, Mammalia, Pholidota, Manidae. The transcript is spliced from 6 exons. The record is from RefSeq and is a predicted model, not a curated record.